Molecule: long non-coding RNA, 404 nt
Organism: Gordionus sp. m RMFG-2023
Lineage: Eukaryota; Metazoa; Nematomorpha; Gordioida; Chordodea; Parachordodidae
Exons: 4
Source: RefSeq, a predicted model, not a curated record
UGACAUUAUUAAAUUUUAUUUAGAGCUAAAUAUGUCUCAAACGGCUAUAUAUACUAUAACAGACCAAAGUGUACCGUGUAGCAUGAUGUUAUCGUUUCGUUUAUUCGGGAAUAAUUCAAUUGUUUCAAAUAUACUUGGAGCAACGCCUCCAAUGCUUUCAACUGCAAACGUAACAAUGGGUUCUAUGAUGCAAACAACGGCUGCAAACAGAGUAACUAUAACUAGGAAUACCACGUUAGAUUUUGGAAACUAUAGGGGAUGGUCAAUUACAAUAUUGACCGCUGUUAGGACAAUUGCGCAAACCUUAAAUUAUGUGAGCGUUACGCCAGCUGUCACCGUCAAUUCAAUCCUCUUUACGGCAUGAAAAUCCCUAGUGGAUAUUAAAGAGCAAACGGACUUCAGAA